GAUGAAGAACGUAGCGAAAUGCGAUAAGUAAUGUGAAUUGCAGAAUUCAGUGAAUCAUCGAAUCUUUGAACGCGCAUUGCGUCCGCCAGUAUUCUGGCGGGCAUGCCUGUUCGAGCGUCAUUACAACCCUCAGGCCCCCGGGCCUGGCGUUGGGGAUCGGCGGAGCCCCCCGUGGGCACACGCCGUCCCCCAAAUGCAGUGGCGGUCCCGCCGCAGCUUCCAUCGCGUAGUAGCUAACACCUCGCGUCUGGAGAGCGGCGCGGCCACGCCGUAAAACACCCAACUCUUCUGAAGUUGACCUCGAAUCAGGUAGGAAUACCCGCUGAACUUAAGCAUAUCAAUAAGCGGAGGA
Molecule: unclassified non-coding RNA, 352 nt
Filed under: soil metagenome
Description: partial contains 5.8S ribosomal RNA, internal transcribed spacer 2, and large subunit ribosomal RNA
Rfam family: 5.8S ribosomal RNA (bases 1-120)
Source: RNAcentral